Molecule: ribosomal RNA, 432 nt
Filed under: uncultured bacterium
Lineage: Bacteria
Description: partial 16S ribosomal RNA
Rfam family: Bacterial small subunit ribosomal RNA
Source: RNAcentral
AGCGAACGCUGGCGGCAGGCCUAACACAUGCAAGUCGAACGAACUCUUCGGAGUUAGUGGCGGACGGGUGAGUAACACGUGGGAACGUGCCUUUUGGUUCGGAAUAACUCAGGGAAACUUGUGCUAAUACCGAAUGUGCCCUUCGGGGGAAAGAUUUAUCGCCAUUAGAGCGGCCCGCGUCUGAUUAGCUGGUUGGUGAGGUAACGGCUCACCAAGGCGACGAUCAGUAGCUGGUCUGAGAGAAUGACCAGCCCACCGGGGCCUGGGACCCGCCCGGAACCCUGCGGGAAGGACGCAGUGGGGAUCCUGCGGAAAGGGGGGAAUGCUGACGGCGGCCAGGCGGGGUAAUUAUGAAAGUCUUAAGGAUGGAAAAUUCUUUCACCGGGGACGAUAAUGACGGUACCCGGAGAAGAAGCCCCGGCUAACUUCGUG